RNAcentral lists this ribosomal RNA (468 nucleotides) under uncultured bacterium. Its description in RNAcentral is "partial 16S ribosomal RNA". It matches the Rfam family "Bacterial small subunit ribosomal RNA", at positions 28 to 507 of the family's 1533-position model. The record is from RNAcentral.
GACGAACGCUGGCGGCGUGCUUAACACAUGCAAGUCGAACGGAAAGGCCCUGCUUUUGUGGGGUGCUCGAGUGGCGAACGGGUGAGUAACACGUGAGUAACCUGCCCUUGACUUUGGGAUAACUUCAGGAAACUGGGGCUAAUACCGGAUAGGAGCUCCUGCUGCAUGGUGGGGGUUGGAAAGUUUCGGCGGUUGGGGAUGGACUCGCGGCUUAUCAGCUUGUUGGUGGGGUAGUGGCUUACCAAGGCUUUGACGGGUAGCCGGCCUGAGAGGGUGACCGGCCACAUUGGGACUGAGAUACGGCCCAGACUCGUACGGGAGGCAGCAGUGGGGAAUAUUGCACAAUGGGAGGAAGCCUGAUGCAGCAACGCCGCGUGCGGGAUGACGGCCUUCGGGUUGUAAACCGCUUUCGCCUGUGACGCAGCGUGAGUGACGGUAAUGGGUAAAGAAGCACCGGCUAACUACGUG